GCAACAGCAAGUUGGGUUGAGUCCCUUGUUAAUCUUGUUGAAUUAGAAUUAUAUGGAUGCACUGAAUGUCUGUAUCUCCCACCUUUGCAUGUAUUACCUUGUUUGCAGACACUUACUCUUAAAUGGCUGUAUUCCCUAGAGUAUAUUGAUGUUGAUCAAAAUGCUACUACUACUAGUAGUAGUUCAAGUUGUAACAUGUCGUUCUUUCCUUCCCUGAAGAAUCUUGAGAUUCGGGAGUGUCCAAAACUAACUUCCAUGCCAUUAUUUCCAUAUCUUGAAUGGUUAUCCCCAGAACAGACCAGCUCUAAGCCAUUACUACAGAUGAUGACGAUGACGAUGGCACAAAAGGAAGCUAGUUCUAGUUCUAGUUCUAGUGCAUCUUCAUCAUCAUCAUUCCAACCUCUCUCCAAAUUGGUGGAUAUGCAGAUUCAAUCCAUUGACGACGUACAAUCUCUGCUACAACAAGCUGCUGUUAUGGGCAACCUCUCAUCUCUUCAAACUCUUGAUAUUCGGAAGUGCCGCAGUUUGACAUCAUUGCCAGAAGCCAUGGGCAACCUCUCAUCUCUUCGAUCUCUUAAGACUUGGGAGUGCCCCAAUUUGACAUCGUUGCCAGCAGCUUUGGGCAACCUCUCAUCUCUUAGAUCUCUUAAUAGCCAGAAGUGCGCCAAUUUGACAUCGUUGCCAGAAGCUAUGGGCAACCUCUCAUCUCUUGGAUAUAUUGAGAAUCGAAAUUGUCCCAACUUGACAUCGUUGCCAGAAGCUGUGGGCAACCUCUCAUCUCUUGUAUAUCUUGAGAUUUGAGAGUGCCCCAAUUUGACAUCGUUGCCAGAAGCUAUGGGCAACCUCUUAUCUCUUAGAUAUCUUGAGAUUAGAAAGUGCACCAAUUUGACAUCGUUGCCACAAGCUAUGGGCAAACUCUCAUCUUAUAUUGAGAUUCGGGAGUGCCCCAAUUUGAUAUACAUCGGGUGACGACUGGCCCAAGAUUGCCCACAUUCCAAAUUUAGUCAUCCACUGAAAGCUCUGCUAUUUGGUAUUUUCUACAGCCACAUUCACUAUCUAUACAGCUUCUUUUUUCACUCCUGGUGCAAACUAGAAUGGAAUUACGUUAAAUGUAAAUCCCACUAGUUUACAGAUUGUGUUGCUUGUACAGAAUCAAUUAUCAAUCCAUCCCAAAUAGCACUCAUGGAAUAAGCAAUGGUUAGGUCUGCAACACUCCAAAGAGAUUGGAUUACCUGGAAACUUGAAAUGUGAAGCCAUAUCUGCAAUGAAAGCCUUGCUUGUUGUUGAUGCAGAGUAGUGGAGAAGCAGACACAAAAACAUCAAGUUAGCAAUUGGCUUGAGAAGCUUCAGGGUGUCUUAUAUGAUGAAUACAACGUCAAAGCAGUUUGGAGCUGGACUAGCUGCUGAUAACGGUGCUGUUGGGUUUACCUUUAGCUUGAUGAUUGUGGUAAGCCUGCAAGCAUUCUGACUUCUACCUCUGGUGGUAAGUUCUUGAAUUACGUAAAUGAAUAAAAGAUAGGAGGUGACGUACCUGAAGUUUUGGCAUCUCAUCAGGCACUUAAACCAAUCUAAUCUGCUGGUAUCAAGCUUUGACGGAAAGUUUUACAUGCUUGCAGAAGGACAGAUUUUAAGCAUUUACUAAGAUGUGUUACUUCCUCGACUCUUGGCUGGUCUAGAGAAAUAUCAAACAGCAGGCCUAUCUUUCCUUAUUCUUUUCAUAUCAAGUUAAGAAAAUCAUUUCCUUUUGCUUUCAAUAUUCCAAAAUUUAUUGUUUUCAAAAAGUACAUAUAUACUUUUUACUUUUCUUUUUUUUUUUUUUUUUCCUUUGGUAUUUUAAAAUCUUUGAGCUUUUGUUGUUGGAUUGACAACUUGAAGAUUGAAAUAUACCUUAUCACAAGAUCCCUUCCUGGAAUUUUAAUUGUGUUCUCUCUUUUAUACAAAAAUGUCUUUUUUUACAGGUAAUUUAUAUACAUAAAUCUUUUUUGGAAACUAAAUCAAUGUCUAUAUCUUACACUUACUUUGAUCUCCAUUUUUACAGGUUUUACUCAUUUACUUUUCUAUUCUUUUUUGGAUUCCAUUAUAUCAUCAUUAAGUUGUCGAUCUCCAUUCCUGUAUUGGCUUCAAAGUUUAAAGGUAGUGCAUACUCCCAAUGUGAUCAUAAAUUUGUUAGUGCUUUGCAGCAUGUUGGCUUCACUGUUUCCGUUACUAAAGUACAUGUUGUCUCUCUGUGUGUUUGUGGAUUCCCUUAUAUUUCUCUGUUUAUGCAAGUAAAAGUGCUGCGAAUUCUUUCUUUAAGUACUGGCAGACUUGAACUUGACUGAAGUUAACUUGAAGUACACUCAUCUAACAACGUCUUUCAACCAAAAGGGGAAUAACAGAACCUUAACCGAAGCCAUGCAUUUUGAAGCUGAGUCAGCAAGAUUGUUUUUUAACAGUUAGAGGCUUAUAAAAGUGGGCUUAACAGCAUAAAAAGAUACACUGCAACAGAAGCUUUCAGUCUCAAUCAGUGUCACCAUUGUUCUUUUUUCCCUCGUAACCUCUUCUUCUUUGUUUUCCUUUCUCUUGGUAUUGUUUAGCAACAUUUCAAGUGAGUGUUUUGUGAAAGAGAGAGGGUGGGGGAUUUUGGGCUGGUUUAAGGGUAUAGAGAAAUCUGUACCAAGAGAAAGAAUGCUGUAUCAAGCCUUGUCUAUGAUGCUAAGAAUUUCUUGGAUUGAGUUCACCAAAGAUGCAGACUCAGGUUCUAAAGCUCAAUCCAGCUCAUCGUCUGAAAAACGCUGCAGCUUUAGCUCUGCUCACUCCAUCAGCUUCAGCAGGAAUAUGUUUUCUUCCUUAUCUUCAUAUCAAAUUGACAACUUGGAGAAGGAAAUAUACCUGAUCACAAGCAAAUGUACCCGGAAUUGUGUUUGUGUUUUCUCUUUUAUGCAAAGAUGUCUUGUUUCUACAGGUUUCACUGAGUUAAUUGUCUACUCUUUCUUGGAUUCCAUUUUAUUGUCAUUCAGUGGCCAAUCUCAAUUUGUUGAUUGGCUUUGCAUUUUGAAGGUUUUCUAUGUGGGAGUUACAGUCAUUAUUACAUGUUGAUUUGUUGAUGAAGUCUCAGGCUCAAAGCUCAAACCAGCUCAUCAUCUGCAAAGCCCUGCAGCUCAGCUCACUCCAUCAGUUUCAAACUCAGUAGCUUCCAUCUAAUCAAACUUGACAACUUUAGUCUUCUGACAUACUAGCUAGCUUCCAGUUGGCAGUUCUUAAUUUAGAAAAUGUUACAUAUUCAUUGUAGUCUAGACAGAUAUAGUACUUGUCUCUACAAAUAUCAAACUCAAACUCAAUACUCAAUGAAUUGACGACUGAGUUUUUUUUCUUGGCCAAAAUUUCUAUGACUCUGUGUGUGUCUGUUUUAUUAAAUUGAAACUUUCACAUACUUCGUGUGAGUUAAAACAUUUGAGAUACCUAAUUAAGGUUGAUGGUUCAUGAAUGAGCUCAAUGGAACUGGCAACCAGGCAAGCAUUCUGAUUACUGCUGCCUCCGGCAGAGUGGAUCAGAUCGUUAUACAGUUCAACUGGCAAAGCUUGGGACUGUAUAUCUAUAACUGCUUCUUUAAUCAAAUAAUAAGAUUAUUCAAUAACUACAGUGACAUUCUAAAUAAAUAUCCCACGAGGGAGAAUCAUCAAUCUUCUUUCGUGUUUGACUGCAUCUUUCUGUACAUACGCUUAGAAUUGCCAUUUCAUGUAAGGUUUUGAACCAUGACCAAACAGAAUCAAUAACUAGAAAAGAUGGAAAACAACAAAUAACAAGAAAGAGAGAGAGAAUAGAGAGAAAUUUUAGAUGUUUAAUAACUUCAAAUAUUGGCUAACAGAACAUGUCCUCUUUCUCUGUGAAUCCUUUCACUUGAAAAAUUUAUAUACUGGUUAGUAGGGACAAAGAAAACUGUUGUAAAUAUUAACUUGAGUUGCAAGUGAACAUGAGUUUUCAUCAAAGCUCGUAGCUUCUUAAUGCAAUAUAUAUAAGUAGAUGUAUAUAUCCAUCACAAACUGGUUGUUGAACAAAGAUCCAACAUUUUGGUCAUUGGUUUUGGCUGUAAAUAAGGGGCAAUAGCAUAUGAUUUCUGGUGCCAUAAAGAUAAUUAUGGGAAACUGGAAAGACCGCUUAUGUGUGUCAUUUGAAAAUCUCAUCUAAACUUGUAAAAUGUGGCUGAAGAUAUUCAUUGGUUGAACUGAAAACAAUGUGGCAGGAGUAGGUUAUCAAGGUUGGACUGAGCUGGUGAUAGAGCUAUAGAUAUGCUACUCCAGAAACUUGAUUUAUUUGAUAUCUUGAUAUAACACCAUUGUCUUCUUGUAUAUUCUCUUGUUGU
Ziziphus jujuba (common jujube) is the source of this 4342-nucleotide RNA transcript. RefSeq lists it as uncharacterized. Lineage: Eukaryota; Viridiplantae; Streptophyta; Magnoliopsida; Rosales; Rhamnaceae. The transcript has 10 exons. The record is from RefSeq and is a predicted model, not a curated record.